AUUGAACGCUGGCGGAAUGCUUUACACAUGCAAGUCGAGCGGCAGCGCGGCCUUCGGGCUGGCGGCGAGCGGCGAACGGGUGAGUAAUGCAUCGGAACAUGCCCAGUCGUGGGGGAUAACACUUCGAAAGAAGUGCUAAUACCGCAUACGUCCUGAGGGGGAAAGCGGGGGAUCGCAAGACCUCGCGCGAUUGGAGUGGCCGAUGUCAGAUUAGCUAGUUGGUGGGGUAAAGGCCUACCAAGGCGACGAUCUGUAGCUGGUCUGAGAGGAUGAUCAGCCACACUGGGACUGAGACACGGCCCAGACUCCUACGGGAGGCAGCAGUGGGGAAUUUUGGACAAUGGGGGCAACCCUGAUCCAGCCAUUCCGCGUGAGUGAAGGAGGCCUUCGGGUUGUAAAGCUCUUUCGGCGGGAACGAAACGGUGGGCUCUAACAUAGUCCGCUAAUGACGGUACCUGAAGAAGAAGCACCGGCUAACUACGUG
Molecule: ribosomal RNA, 484 nt
Filed under: uncultured bacterium
Lineage: Bacteria
Description: partial 16S ribosomal RNA
Rfam family: Bacterial small subunit ribosomal RNA
Source: RNAcentral